Molecule: ribosomal RNA, 374 nt
Filed under: uncultured bacterium
Lineage: Bacteria
Description: bacterial SSU rRNA
Rfam family: Bacterial small subunit ribosomal RNA
Source: RNAcentral
GACGAACGCUGGCGGCGUGCUUAACACAUGCAAGUCGAGCGGUAAGGCCCUUUCGGGGGUACACGAGCGGCGAACGGGUGAGUAACACGUGGGUGACCUGCCCUCAGCUCUGGGAUAAGCCCGGGAAACUGGGUCUAAUACUGGAUAUGACUCCACGGUGCAUGCCGUGGGGUGGAAAGCCUUGUGCGGCUGAGGAUGGGCCCGCGGCCUAUCAGCUUGUUGGUGGGGUGAUGGCCACCAAGGCGACGACGGGUAGCCGGCCUGAGAGGGCGACCGGCCACACUGGGACUGAGACACGGCCCAGACUCCUACGGGAGGCAGCAGUGGGGAAUCUUGCGCAAUGGGCGAAAGCCUGACGCAGCGACGCCGCGUGA